This 301-nucleotide ribosomal RNA is filed under the name uncultured bacterium. RNAcentral's name for it is "partial 16S ribosomal RNA". It matches the Rfam family "Bacterial small subunit ribosomal RNA", at positions 509 to 807 of the family's 1533-position model. The record is from RNAcentral.
CAGCCGCCACGGUAAUACAGAGGGUGCGAGCGUUAAUCGGAUUUACUGGGCGUAAAGCGUGCGUAGGCGGCUUUUUAAGUCGGAUGUGAAAUCCCUGAGCUUAACUUAGGAAUUGCAUUCGAUACUGGUUAGCUAGAGUGUGGGAGAGGAUGGUAGAAUUCCAGGUGUAGCGGUGAAAUGCGUAGAGAUCUGGAGGAAUACCGAUGGCGAAGGCAGCCAUCUGGCCUAACACUGACGCUGAGGUACGAAAGCAUGGGGAGCAAACAGGAUUAGAUACCCCGGUAGUCCCUGUCUCUUAUAC